GAUGAACGCUAGCUACAGGCUUAACACAUGCAAGUCGAGGGGCAGCAUUAUCGAAGCUUGCUUUGAUAGAUGGCGACCGGCGCACGGGUGAGUAACGCGUAUCCAACCUUCCCCAUAGUCAGGAAUAGCCCGGCGAAAGUCGAAUUAAUGCCUGAUGUUUUCCACGGACGGCAUCUGAUGUGGAACAAAGAUUCAUCGCUAUGGGAUGGGGAUGCGUCUGAUUAGCUUGUUGGCGGGGUAACGGCCCACCAAGGCAACGAUCAGUAGGGGUUCUGAGAGGAAGGUCCCCCCACAUUGGAACUGAGACACGGUCCAAACUCCUACGGGAGGCAGCAGUGAGGAAUAUUGGUCAAUGGGCGAGAGCCUGAACCAGCCAAGUAGCGUGCAGGACGACGGCCCUAUGGGUUGUAAACUGCUUUUAUAAGGGAAUAAAGUGGGUCUCGUGAGACUUUUUGCAUGUACCUUAUGAAUAAGGACCGGCUAAUUCCGUGCCAGCAG
This 498-nucleotide ribosomal RNA is filed under the name uncultured bacterium. RNAcentral describes it as "bacterial SSU rRNA". It matches the Rfam family "Bacterial small subunit ribosomal RNA", at positions 28 to 514 of the family's 1533-position model. The record is from RNAcentral.